UGUAAAAUUUAAAUUGUAAAUAUUAUAUAAAUUAAAAUUUGAAAGAGAUAUUAUAAAACAUAACAUUUUCCAAAUGUUAUUUCACUGUUCUUAAGGUCACUUCCUAACAACAGUGUUGGCGGUGUGGGUUGAUAAAGAAGUAGUAUGUGGAGUGUGAGACUGAAAAAGGACUGCAUUCCAGGACUGCAUAUGGUAUGGGAUUGAAAAGGGAAGGUCGCAAGUUUUCUUUGACAUCUUCUCCAGUAUUCCCUCUUCCUCCACCUAAUAUUUCUCUUAACUUCUUUUUCUUUAAUGUUGUCUCCCAUUUCUCUCAGUCGACGAGUCCUUCAACCAACCACCGCAUUCUACCACUCAUGUCCUAUGUAUCGCCUUCAACCACCCACCUUUUGCUUCGAACCACCCCCAUCUAUUCAUCUUCACAUUUUCAUUGUUGCAAUCGGCGCUGGAAAUUUCUAGGGUUUCGAAAUAGAGUUGAAUUUGGGGUUUCUUUGUUCCUAUUUUGAAGAAAGGAAUAAACUGAAAACGAAGGAGGAUAACAAUGGGGAACUGAAACCAUUUCUGAUGAGCAUCAAGAAUUUUCUCACCAUACGUAUGUAAGAUCUUUCAUUCCCGUACAUGGUUGUUGAUUGAAGAAGAAAGUAAAGAAUAAAGAAAAGGAAAAGGGAAGAAUGGUUGGACUUAGGAGCUAUGUUACGGUGUGAUAUGAUUUUGAUAGACUAUGUGAUACCAUCUUUAUUCCUCAACUGCUACUCAAUGACCACCUCCAUAUCCGCCAGAUCUCAUCCCCACCACCGCCACCACUCUUCUAAGCAUCUGUUCUUAUAUCUUUCAAUUGUGCAACUCUGAAAUGGCACCCUAGAGUUAAAACUCUGCAGCGAUUGAUAAAAGCUACUGCAAUCAAUAGAAAUCAUCUCCUACUCUAAAUCUGAGACAAACCAGGUAUGUACUCUUUCUUUAUAACAAAGCAGGCACCAGUGACAAAGUUUUUUUUUUUAUUUAAGGUUAUCGAUCUUCUAGAAUAAUAACUGGAGUAUAUUAUGGAGAGGCAGUGAUCGCAAAAUGGCAUGAACGAAUUCAAAUCAGAAUCCUGGAUUGAAAUAUGAAUCCAACCUAUCUAUUUGGCGCCCGAUC
This is a non-coding RNA of Lactuca sativa (garden lettuce), 1131 nucleotides long. The record is from RefSeq and is a predicted model, not a curated record. Lineage: Eukaryota; Viridiplantae; Streptophyta; Magnoliopsida; Asterales; Asteraceae.